UGAUAUCAUUAUUUUGGCUUUCGUUUUAACUUAUUUUUAAAACGAAUCUAAUGAUGCAAAAAUCAUUCAUAUAAGAUUUGUUUGUUCACACUUCAGUAGCUUUUACCAUACAGUUCUCAAACAGAAAAAAAAAAUGCCGUUGCGACCUUCCAUCACCCCCGACUUACCGACUACCGCGAAACAUUCACCGCCAUAAACUACAUUCAGUCGUUCACCGUCAUAAACAACGAAAUAAAAAGCGCUCCUCAUCAUGGGUUGCAAAUCCGAACCCUAAUUCCAGAAAAUCCUCCCUGCUUUCAAUCUCCCCUGUGAAAACCUUACAAUUCCGAUUCUAAACCCUAACCCAAGACUAUGUUCAUCCUUUUUCUUGUUCGGCCAAUUUCUCCGUUCGGUUUCACGAAUUCGUCGAUCAAAAUCUUCAAUUUAGCGAAAAACAAUGUACAUUUAACUUCUAUCUACUUGUUUGAGGCAACGAAUUAGUAUCGAAUGGUAAUUCAACGGUUACACCAGUGUCGAUUUGGUACAUUCGUCUAUUUUACGGCGUGUGGAUGGUGAUGAAGAAGUGCGAGGAAUUCAUCUAAGGCUCGCCUAUUUGGGAUAGCGUGGAAUAGGAAGGCUAACACAUGAAGCUUCUUCCUUAUGGGUCGUAGACUCGUUGUGAUGUUAAAUGGGCUUCUUGUAUUUGGAUAAUUAUUCUUAGAGAAAUUAUGUUUUUAAUUUUUACCCUUAAUAGAGUUUGAAGUGGAUUUUGGUGA
Long non-coding RNA from Spinacia oleracea (spinach), 755 nucleotides. RefSeq lists it as uncharacterized. The transcript is spliced from 2 exons. The record is from RefSeq and is a predicted model, not a curated record. Lineage: Eukaryota; Viridiplantae; Streptophyta; Magnoliopsida; Caryophyllales; Amaranthaceae.